CCUACGGGAGGCAGCAGUGAGGAAUAUUGGUCAAUGGACGCAAGUCUGAACCAGCCAUGCCGCGUGCAGGAAGACGGCUCUAUGAGUUGUAAACUGCUUUUGUACGAGGGUAAACGCAGAUACGAGUAUCUGUCUGCAAGUAUCGUACGAAUAAGGAUCGGCUAACUCCGUGCCAGCAGCCGCGGUAAUACGGAGGAUUCAAGCGUUAUCCGGAUUUAUUGGGUUUAAAGGGUGCGUAGGCGGUCGGAUAAGUUAGAGGUGAAAUCCCGAGGCUCAACUUCGGAAUUGCCUCUGAUACUGUUCGGCUAGAGAGUAGUUGCGGUAGGCGGAAUGUAUGGUGUAGCGGUGAAAUGCUUAGAGAUCAUACAGAACACCGAUUGCGAAGGCAGCUUACCAAGCUACUUCUGACGUUGAGGCACGAAAGCGUGGGGAGCAAACAGGAUUAGAUACCCUAGUAGUC
Molecule: ribosomal RNA, 460 nt
Filed under: uncultured bacterium
Lineage: Bacteria
Description: partial 16S ribosomal RNA
Rfam family: Bacterial small subunit ribosomal RNA
Source: RNAcentral